GUAUAAUUUAUUAAUUGUUAAUAUAAUAUUUUUGGUUUAACUGCCUUUUGCAUCAUGCUUAAUAGAGUGUAAAUUGUAUAGUUUAAACCGAAAAUUUCAGAUCUUUCCUGUAAUUGUUUAGAAUAUAUGAAAUUUAAGUUAAUUUUUUUAGAUUAUAGGUAUGUUGUGAAAAGUUAAUCGUUGAAGUUUAUAUCUGUUUGAUUAUUAAUUUCUUCUUUGAAUAUUUAAGGUUAUGAUAUCUUAAAUAAGUUUAUAUCAUUACACUAUUAAUUUUUAUAAUAGGGUUAAAAAUACCUUAUUUUAAUAAGUUUGUUGUAAUAUUUGUUGACUUGUUGUGUGGUUAAAUCUAAUAAUAAUCUAUGGAAUAGUUGGUGUUAAAUUAUUAUUAAAUUAGUAAUAUUAUUAUGAUGUAUUAUUUCUCAAGUUUUGUCCGUCUGUUUAUUAAAAACAUUUCCAAAUUUAAGUUUAUUUGGUAAUACCUGCCCCAUGCUUAUAGUAAAUGGCCGCAGUAUAUUGACUGUGCGAAGGUAGCAUAAUUAAUUGCCUUAUAAUUGAAGGCUUGUUUGAAUGGUUUAACGGGAUGAAUAUAAAUAUUACAUAUAUAGUUGAAUUUAUUAUUGAGGGCACAGAGACCUCAAAAUUUAAUUAGACGGAAAGACCCCGGGAUCUUUUAUUUUUGCCUGGGGCAGGUAUUAAUGUUUCAUUAGUAUUUUGACCCUUAAUGGUUUAUUGGGUUAAGUUACCCCGGGGAUAACAGUGUAAUAAUUAAUAAGAGAUCAUAUCGAAUUAAUUGAUUGCCACCUCGAUGUUGACUUAGGUAAAAAUGUAAACGCAGUAGUUUAUAAUUUGGGUCUGUUCGACCUUUGUUACCUCCAUGAGUUGAGUUAAGACCGGCGUGAGCCAGGUCGGUUCUUAUCUAUUGUAGUGAUUUAUUAGUACGAAAGGACCAUAAAUCUUUUUAUU
This 963-nucleotide ribosomal RNA is filed under the name Rodentolepis nana. RNAcentral's name for it is "large subunit ribosomal RNA". The stretch from base 616 to 963 matches the Rfam family "Bacterial large subunit ribosomal RNA", at positions 2045 to 2708 of the family's 2925-position model. The record is from RNAcentral. Lineage: Eukaryota; Metazoa; Platyhelminthes; Cestoda; Cyclophyllidea; Hymenolepididae.